UACGUAGGGGGCAAGCGUUGUCCGGAUUUAUUGGGCGUAAAGAGCGUGUAGGCGGCCAAGCAGGUCCGCUGUGAAAACUCGAGGCUCAACCUCGAGACGUCGGUGGAAACCGUUUGGCUAGAGUCCGGAAGAGGAGAGUGGAAUUCCCGGUGUAGCGGUGAAAUGCGCAGAUAUUGGGAAGAACACCAAUGGCGAAAGCAGCUUUCUGGGACGGUACUGACGCUGAGACGCGAAAGCGUGGGGAGCGAACAGG
RNAcentral lists this ribosomal RNA (253 nucleotides) under uncultured bacterium. RNAcentral's name for it is "partial 16S ribosomal RNA". It matches the Rfam family "Bacterial small subunit ribosomal RNA", at positions 524 to 776 of the family's 1533-position model. The record is from RNAcentral.